GACGAACCGUGCGAACGUUAUUCGGAAUUACUGGGCGUAAAGCGUACGUAGGCGGAUCGUUAAGUCAGGGGUGAAAGCCUGGAGCUCAACUCCAGAACUGCCUUUGAUACUGGCGAUCUUGAGACCGGGAGAGGUGAGUGGAACUGCUAGUGUAGAGGUGAAAUUCGUAGAUAUUAGCAAGAACACCAGUGGCGAAGGCGGCUCACUGGCCCGGUACUGACGCUGAGGUACGAAAGCGUGGGGAGCAAACAGG
This 253-nucleotide ribosomal RNA is filed under the name uncultured bacterium. RNAcentral describes it as "partial 16S ribosomal RNA". It matches the Rfam family "Bacterial small subunit ribosomal RNA", at positions 524 to 776 of the family's 1533-position model. The record is from RNAcentral.